AGAGUUUGAUCAUGGCUCAGAUUGAACGCUGGCGGUAUGCUUAACACAUGCAAGUCGAACGGUAACAGGCCUUCGGGCGCUGACGAGUGGCGGACGGGUGAGUAACGCGUAGGAAUCUGCCUUAUAGUGGGGGACAACGUGGGGAAACCCACGCUAAUACCGCAUACGCCCUACGGGGGAAAGGAGGGGAUCUUCGGACCUUUCGCUAUGAGAUGAGCCUGCGUUAGAUUAGCUAGUUGGUAGGGUAAAGGCCUACCAAGGCGACGAUCUAUAGCUGGUCUGAGAGGACGAUCAGCCACACUGGGACUGAGACACGGCCCAGACUCCUACGGGAGGCAGCAGUGGGGAAUAUUGGACAAUGGGCGAAAGCCUGAUCCAGCAAUACCGCGUGUGUGAAGAAGGCCUUAGGGUUGUAAAGCACUUUCAAUUGGGAGGAAAACCUGUCGGUCAAUA
This 453-nucleotide ribosomal RNA is filed under the name uncultured bacterium. RNAcentral describes it as "bacterial SSU rRNA". It matches the Rfam family "Bacterial small subunit ribosomal RNA", at positions 8 to 465 of the family's 1533-position model. The record is from RNAcentral.